This 490-nucleotide ribosomal RNA is filed under the name uncultured bacterium. RNAcentral's name for it is "partial 16S ribosomal RNA". It matches the Rfam family "Bacterial small subunit ribosomal RNA", at positions 30 to 507 of the family's 1533-position model. The record is from RNAcentral.
AUUGAACGCUGGCGGCAGGCCUAACACAUGCAAGUCGAAUGGUAACAGGAAACAGCUUGCUGUUUCGCUGACGAGUGGCGGACGGGUGAGUAAUGUCUGGGAAACUGCCUGAUGGAGGGGGAUAACUACUGGAAACGGUAGCUAAUACCGCAUAACGUCGCAAGACCAAAGAGGGGGACCUUCGGGCCUCUUGCCAUCAGAUGUGCCCAGAUGGGAUUAGCUAGUAGGUGGGGUAACGGCUCACCUAGGCGACGAUCCCUAGCUGGUCUGAGAGGAUGACCAGCAACACUGGAACUGAGACACGGUACAGACUCCUACGGGAGGCAGCAGUGGGGAAUAUUGCACAAUGGGCGCAAGCCUGAUGCAGCCAUGCCGCGUGUAUGAAGAAGGCCUUCGGGUUGUAAAGUACUUUCAGCGGGGAGGAAGGGAGUAAAGUUAAUACCUUUGCUCAUUGACGUUACCCGCAGAAGAAGCACCGGCUAACUCCGUG